AUUGAACGCUGGCGGCGUGCUUAACACAUGCAAGUCGUACGUGAACGGGGCUUCGGCCCUUAGUAAAGUGGCGCACGGGUGAGUAACACGUGGAUAAUCUGCCCUUAUGAUCGGGAUAACAGUCGGAAACGGCUGCUAAUACCGGAUACGCUCAAAAUGAACUUUUUGAGGAAAGGUGACCUCUGCUUGCAAGUUACUGCAUGAGGAUGAGUCCGCGGCCCAUUAGCUAGUUGGUAGGGUAACGGCCUACCAAGGCAACGAUGGGUAGCCGAUUUGAGAGGAUGAUGGGCCACACGGGAACUGAAACACGGUCCAGACUUCUACGGGAGGCAGCAGUGGGGAAUAUUGCGCGAUGGGCGAAAGCCUGACGCAGCGACGCCGCGUGAGGGAUGAAGGUUUUCGGAUCGUAAACCUCUGUCAGAAGGGAAGAAACCGCACCGUGCUAAUCAGCGGUGCAUUGACGGUACCUUCAAAGGAAGCACCGGCUAACUCCGUGCCAGCCGCCGCAGUAA
This 512-nucleotide ribosomal RNA is filed under the name uncultured bacterium. Its description in RNAcentral is "partial 16S ribosomal RNA". It matches the Rfam family "Bacterial small subunit ribosomal RNA", at positions 30 to 523 of the family's 1533-position model. The record is from RNAcentral.